CGAACCGAGGCGGGAGAGUCCCGCAGGAGCGGGCGCCGAAGGAGCAACCCUCCCCGGGAAUCUCUCAGGCCCCUGUACCGCCACGGCGAG
Molecule: non-coding RNA, 90 nt
Filed under: Cellulomonas sp.
Lineage: Bacteria; Bacillati; Actinomycetota; Actinomycetes; Micrococcales; Cellulomonadaceae
Description: Glycine sequence
Rfam family: Glycine riboswitch aptamer
About the family: This family represents the bacterial glycine riboswitch. Glycine riboswitches usually consist of two metabolite-binding aptamers domains with similar structures in tandem. The aptamers cooperatively bind glycine to regulate the expression of downstream genes.
Source: RNAcentral